GUAGACUUAAUUGUCGAAGUAUAAUGCAAAACUACAUUCAUAUACUUCAUUGCACCACACAUUCUAUAGAUGUGUGUUUAUUUCAUUUAACUUUGGAUGACUGCCGUGACAACUGCAUCUCCAACAUUUUUACUGAAAGCCAUAAAAAAUAUGAAAACCCAAAUAUAACUUGUAGCUUACUGUUGCAUGCGCCCUUGAUUCAACAAUUUCUACAUUGUUGUAGUGGAAGGAAGCUGAAAUGGCAGCUUGCUGGAGGAGAAUAGAUCCUAUGGACAGAGUUGGUGCAACUAGGCAACCCUAAAAUACUUCGUAUUCGUUAGAAUUGCAACAAGUUGCUUGGCUCUGCAAAUUAAAGCGAUAAUGCUGAUAUUGUGUCAACCGUAAUCCGAGGCACAUAAACCACACUUCUCAGACCGAAUGCUGUUGCCUAUGAGAAGUUGAAAAGAAAACUAUUAUCAGCUAUUCUAGUAUAACUUUUAGAAAAUUAAUUUUUCAGUGGUCAUAUGAAAAAUAUGGUUUAUCCUUGCUUAUUCACUGAGGCUGCAAAAUAAGUUGAUAUAAGAAUAUAGUAGUGUUUAGAUACCGAACCUGUUUUACGUUGUCAUAAACUGCUGAAGGCUGAGUGAAAUCAACAACGACUCCUGUCUCUUUUGACUGAUAGAA
This is a long non-coding RNA of Gossypium arboreum, 663 nucleotides long. RefSeq lists it as uncharacterized. The transcript has 2 exons. The record is from RefSeq and is a predicted model, not a curated record. Lineage: Eukaryota; Viridiplantae; Streptophyta; Magnoliopsida; Malvales; Malvaceae.